CGAAAGCCUGACGGAGCAAUACCGCGUGAGGGAGGAAGGCUCUUGGGUCGUAAACCUCUUUUCUCAGGGAAGAAAAAAAUGACGGUACCUGAGGAAUAAGCAUCGGCUAACUCCGUGCCAGCAGCCGCGGUAAUACGGAGGAUGCAAGCGUUAUCCGGAAUGAUUGGGCGUAAAGCGUCCGCAGGUGGCAAUACAAGUCUGCUGUCAAAGGUCAAGGCUCAACUUUGGACAGGCAGUGGAAACUGUAUAGCUAGAGUGCGGUGGGGGCAGAGGGAAUUCCCAGUGUAGCGGUGAAAUGCGUAGAGAUUGGGAAGAACACCAGUGGCGAAAGCGCUCUGCUAGGCCGCAACUGACACUCAGGGACGAAAGCUAGGGGAGCG
RNAcentral lists this ribosomal RNA (380 nucleotides) under uncultured cyanobacterium. RNAcentral's name for it is "bacterial SSU rRNA". It matches the Rfam family "Bacterial small subunit ribosomal RNA", at positions 376 to 770 of the family's 1533-position model. Lineage: Bacteria; Bacillati; Cyanobacteriota. The record is from RNAcentral.